UUGGCUCAACUGAUUGAUGUGGUGUGGUCGUGCUCUCCCGGGCCGGGCCUAAGCCGUGCCGGAUGAGGGACGGGCGUUCCCAGUGAACGUGUCCGCUCUUCUCGGUCUGUCCGCGGGGCCCCUCACCUGUCUUUCCCCUUGGCCUAUUGGGUAAGGUGAGGAAGGCAGGGGUUGGGGUGUGGCCUCCGGCCCUGACCUUCGUUCUCCCGUCCCCAGCCUUGGGGUGCCUAGUGGGGGACGUUGGGCUUUGGACACAGCAGGUGCGCUUGCUUCGCCUUCCUGGCGUGUGCCCCGCGAGCGGCCCUCCCUGUGGUGGGGAGGGCUGUGCCGCUGCCAUGCCACGCGCCCCCGCAUGGGUGUGUGAGCAUGCCUCGUCAGAUGCUCGGUGGUGCCCCUGGAGUGCUCCAGGUCGUCCCUCAGGUGCAUGAGGCCGAGUGGUGGUGGUGUUUUCCCUCAAUCCUGUGUCCUCCUCGUGUCCCCGCCACGGUGGUGUGCGUGUGUCCCAUGGGGGUGUUGAGAACGUAAGAGAAGCGUUGUGUGCUCCCCUUGUUGUGGUGGCUGAUGGAUGAGGCCUUGCAGGGGGUCCCUGACCGUGCACACGCUCCUGUGUGGUGGCCCGCUUACCUAUGCUGCAGACUCCUCCCACCCAGUUGAGUGGCGGCUCCUGGUGUGCCUCCGUGGGCCUGAAGGAGAGACCAUCGGGUGAGGGACGGUGCGCCCUCGGUGAGAAAGCCUUCUAUAGUGAUCCGAGAAGGGAGCCUUGGGGUACUGGACCCCCCAGCCGCUGCCCCUCCCAAGUGUGUAGUGGCCACUGUGGCGACUGCCAGAGCACGUGGGCAGAAAACCCCCCUCCCCUCUGUGGGGAAAGAGGGGGGUGAUGGGUGCGCCGGCCCUGCGGUGGGGCCGUGUGCUGCUUGUUGCCUACUGCGGCCCGCGCCUCCCCCCUCUGAGUUGGGUGAGGGUCCUGCCAGGCCCCACCAGGUGUCCGGCGAGUGCUCGGGUAGCUAUCGUAGAUCGCAUUUUGGUUUCGCAGGCGCUCCGCCUCGCUGUCAGUCAAUUGGUGGACUCGCUUGCAGGCCUGCAGUUCCUUUUGCUGGCGAUGCAGCUACUGACGGCGCUCCGACAGCGGCGUCUCGUCGCCCUCUCUCGCCGUGGCCCCCUGGCGCCCGGCGCGCGGCCCCUUCUUAGGCGCCGUAGGUCGUGGCUAUGGGCCCUGACCCCCCCCAGCCCGAAACUUCUGGCUUUUGAAUGCCUCUAUGAGUCACGAAGCUGCGGGAGGCAGAAUCAGGAGUUUUGGGGUCAAUCAGGGGUCAGCGUAUUGUCCCCAACCUUUACGUCCGGCGCGCGGCCCCUUCUUAGGUGCCAUAGGUCGUGGCUACGGGCCCUGACCCCCUCCUGCGCGCAGCAGGCCCCGUGGGUGAGCCGAGGGGGGUUGGGGUGCGACUGCCCAGUCGGCCCCGGCUCCCCCAGCCCCGCAGCCGUGGAGAGGAGGAGCCUGUCGUGCCCGCCCUUGCCCCCGAGCCGUGGCUGUGUGGUGGGCCCGGUCUGGGUCGCCCUCGCUCGAGAGUGUGUCCCCAGGAUGCUGAGCCUCGGGGUCAGACUUGGAAGACAGAUCUGUUGAGGAUGGAUGGAGGAAGGUGGGUGGGACGGCACGCUGGCCCUGGCGGCAGGGCUGGGGUGUGGGGCCCGCUCCAGGGAUGGCCAGGAACGCCCGGCGUCCCAGGCGUUGUGGGACUGCCCUCGUGUGUGGGUGGCGGUGGGAUCCCGCGCUGGAUUUCCUGGGGGCCCGGCUGUGUCCUGGUGUUUUCUGGUCCCCGGUCGGCGCCCUCGCCCGCGUCCUGUGACCCCUGCUGUGCGUGUGCUUGGCGGCCCCUCCCCACCGCUGCCGGCCUUUCCUCCUCGUUCCGUGAGUGCGGCCGCCUGUGUCCCCUUCCACCCCCGUUCCCCACGGUCUGGGACCGAGCCGGCCUCGCCUCACGUGGGUGUCGUCUCCCGGCGUCCGUCGGCCGGUGGCGUCCCCGGGUGGAGCAGUGCCCUCGGAGCCCUGAGAGAGGGGGGCUGGGCGUGGAGAGCCUUGGCGCGCACAGCAGGGUUGCGCAUGUGAGGGCUGUGGGGGCCCCCGGUAUGCGGCGGGAGAGCGUUCUCCCGGGCCGUCUGCGGCUCCGGGUGUGUAGGGUUGGCGGUGGGCGUGAGGCCCCGUGAAGGGUGCGCCCUCUCCCCCCCGCGGGGGGUGUGUGUGCAGGGUGGCCGGAGAGACCAGUCUGUCGUUCUGGGUGUGCCUCGGGACAGCCCCUGUGCUGGGAGGCCUCUGGCGGUGAGAUCCCGCGGUGCGCCUUGGUGGCUGACUCGCUUCCCCCGGGUCGUUUUGAGCCAUCCCCCUCGCGGUGGCGCGCGGCCACCCCCGCCUCCACCGCCGGUUCUGUGGUGUUUGAGUCAGGUGGCCGCACCCUGUCGGUGCCCCUCUCCGUCCGUCCGUCCAUCCGCCUCGGUCUGCUCCCCACCUGCUGCUCCCCGUGGCCGCGCCCUGCUGUGUCUCGCUUCCCCGGGCCUGCUGUGGAUCUGCGACAGGUCCACGCGGCUGUCCUGUUCACGACGGCGGGCGGAGUUGGCGCAGCGCUGCGCGCGCGUGCUCGGGUAGCUAUCGUAGAUCGCAUUUUGGUUUCGCAGGCGCUCCGCCUCGCUGUCAGUCAAUUGGUGGACUCGCUUGCAGGCCUGCAGUUCCUUAUGCUGGCGAUGCAGCUACUGACGGCGCUCCGACAGCGGCGUCUCGUCGCCCUCUCUUGCCGUGGCCCCCUGGCGCCCGGCGCGCGGCCCCUUCUUAGGUGCCAUAGGUUGUGGCUACGGGCCCUGACCCCCCCCCACCCCGAAACUUCCGGCUUUUGAAUGCUUCUAUGAGUCACGAAGCUGCGGGAGGCAGAAUCAGGAGUUCGGGGUCAAUCAGCGGUCAGCGUGUUGUCCCCAACCUUUACCAGUGGGGUCUUACCCGGACCCUGGCCGCGUCAUUCUGUUUUCUGAAACUUCAGUGUUGUCGGUUAGCCGGAACGGUCUCCAUGGAAACAAGUGAAGAACAUGUAAUUUUAAGUGACUGUAAGGAAGUUCACGCUGCCCCAGCACCCACCUGGCUGGCUCCCUGCAGGUUCCACUGCCCAGCCCGUGAGUGGACGCUGCGGGGUGCCCUGCGGCUCCCGGUGCAGGAAGGAGCCCAGCUCUCACCCGCCGAAUAUCUAAUGCCACCCCGUCACUCGGGCCGAGGUGUCCUCUGCGCAGCGCUCUCCAGACCUGGGAAGAGAACAAGUUUCUAGCCCUUUAAGCCUCCAAGUUGAUGGAAAUACAUACAAUAAGCCAAACUUCCUUAAGUCCCAGAGUUUCUGGACCUCAGUUUAUUAAAGAUCUAAAAAUGAGAAAAAACUGGAAAAAUUGGGAAAAAACCAAAAGGGAGGAGAAAGUAAACCUUGAACGAAAAAAAUGAUUAAGACACAAAUUAAAAAGGCAAAAGAAAGGGAAAAAAAACCAACGAAAUGGCAAAAACAGUUUGGGGCUUUUUUCCUAGGCGUUGCUUUUUCUUAAAAAAAAAAAAAGCGUUUCCGCUUCUCUGUGAAACGUGCAGACACGGAAUACUCACUCAUCGUGAAAAUGAUGAGACCUAGCGACAGCCUCAGACAUGUGAGGCAGGCGGCCUUCCUGACGAGAUCAGAAGAUUCAAACAGAGGUUGACAAACUUAAUUUGGAGAUGAAAAGUGAAGAGCUGGAGACCUCAGGGGUCUCCAGGACCCGCUGUGUGAGGGUCCUGUGUGUCUGGCCAGGAUUCCGAGUGCCUGGAGGGAAGCCCUAGGGCCGGGUCCCUGAAGAUGCGAGCAUCUCUGGGUCAGCGUGCUCUCAGCACCCCAGCCCGCCCCCAGCCCAGCCCCAGCAGGCAGGGAACCGGCAAUGAAGGCUCGGCUCCCAGAAGCUCACAGUCCACAGGCCAGUGACCCUAGUGUUAGAGCUUCUGGCCCAGCCUCUCCUGGACCACAGAGGAGGCCGGUUCCCCCAGUGGCUGAGAGGUGACGGUGCUGGGGCUGUACUUUGAACAUCACAGUCACGUUACCGCGUCUGGGCCGGCAGGACUCAAUACACGUCUAGAUCGACGGUCCAGGAAGGAACCCGCACGGAGGUCUCAGACACAGCAGGAUGAGAAGGCAACUGCUUCCUGAGCGCGAAAAACGCCAACACCUUGAGUCAACCUGAACACAUCUGCGGUCAUCCCAGAACGCCAGCUGAUGGAAACUCACUCCCCUCGGGACUCGGGCCCCCACCUACGGGCCAGAAGCUUGCAUCCCGGCUGCCGAGUGGCUGCCUCCUUCCUUUCUUCUGCUGCUGUUUCUCACCCCGAGUGGAGUGUGCAGAGUGCUGGGGACCCCAGACCCUGUGGUCAUCUGCCGCUUUCCCAUCCCCUCCUGCCCACCCCCCAGCGGCCAGGAGCCUGGAUUUGGGGCCAUCCCUGAGCGCCCAUGUGGGUUGAGGCACGUGCACAGUCCACGGUGCACCAGGGGCCGCCAAGGUCAGCGGGCUGUGGUUUCUGAGUCGACAGGGGUGGCGGCAGCAGUGGACCCAGCCCAGUGGCCCCAGUGUGCACAGGCCGGGAAGUGUCUUCCAGCCGGUCUUCUUCCUCCCACUCCUGGGAAUGCAUGUACCCUGAGUCGGGAGAGAGGCGGGCCUGGGCACCCUCACCAAUGGCAGUGUCCACCUAGGAGGUCUUUAGCAAGUGAGGAGACAGGCCACGGAGGAGCAGUGUCCUGCUCUUGGGCUGAAAGGGCUCCCGGGAGAGAGCAGUGUGGUCGUUAGCAUGUGUUUGACACUUGCUGUGUGCCCGGCUCCCAGGGGUGAGCCCAGUCACGAGUCCUUUCCUUCCACACCUCCCUGGCCAUGUGGUGUGGGGGUGCCCAGUCCUCCCACCAGUAACGGGGCCAAGAUGCAGGCCUUCCUACCCCACAGAGCCUGGCUCCCUCAGUGCCCCAAAACAUCAGCCACACUGUGGUCAUCAUUGAGAUGAGCAAGGCCCAGAGGGGCAGAGGCACCCCCUGCAGCGUGGACCACAGAACGCAGGGGCCCUGGGUCCCAGUCCCCCUGGCAGGUGUCCCUGCCCCAGGCGCCCACCCCCGCAGGGCCCGCUGCUUUGUGAGCAGCACUGUCCCCCUGCUGGCUGAUGCUUUGGGUAUGUCUUCCUCGAUGCCUGAUCUGGGUGGAUCCUCCCAGCUCCCUGAGCCCCCAGCGGGUGGGUGGGAGGAUUUGGGAGAUGAAAUCUGCAAGAUGCCAGCUCCAUGAGGCCUUCCCAGAUGGAUGGAUGGAUGGACAGGGGGUGGGGAGCGGCGAGGGAGGCUUUGGAUUCCUGCCCAGUGCCCACUGUGCACGCAGCACAGGCCUGGCUGUAGUAGGCGCUCAAUAAAUAAAUGUUUGUGGAGCUAAA
This is a long non-coding RNA of Dama dama (fallow deer), 5446 nucleotides long. RefSeq lists it as uncharacterized. The record is from RefSeq and is a predicted model, not a curated record. The transcript has 5 exons. Lineage: Eukaryota; Metazoa; Chordata; Mammalia; Artiodactyla; Cervidae.